This is a long non-coding RNA of Oncorhynchus kisutch (coho salmon), 1563 nucleotides long. The record is from Ensembl. NCBI's taxonomy places the organism in Eukaryota, Metazoa, Chordata, Actinopteri, Salmoniformes, Salmonidae.
AUGGCGAACCCCAAUACUCCAAAGCUGAGGUUUAAUGAGUUCCUAGAACAAAAAAUUGAAUAUAGAUCAGGGGGACAGGAACAAUGGAAGCCUAUAAAGAAAGUUUGGGAGGGAUUGAAGUUAAAAUGGACACAAGCAGGUUAUCUAGGGGGGGGGCCGCCAACAGGGGCCCAGCUGAAAACGAUGGAAUGUGAGUUGAGAGGGACGUUACAGGAGGCCAGAGACAAGGAAGUAGAAAAUAACAAAAGUCACGUAUUUAAGAAAAAAGGGACUAAACAGAGAGAAAGGGCAGAAGUGGAACUGAAGAUAGGAACUUGGGCCAUCGAAGAGGCGCUAAAAGCACAACUGAAUAAAAAAACGGAAAUGAUGGGGGUGGCCACUCCCUCACAAGGGGAAGACGAGCAGACGGACCACCACCAGGAGAUGGCGCCAAAUCCAUUUCCCUCUGCCCCGCCAACACAUGUGCCCUCAACGACCCAACCCCUUUACCCAGUCCUCUCAAAUUUGCCUCCACCUUAUACUGAUAAGGGGAAAAGGGCCGGGCACGCGUCAACACAGGCCCCUGUGUUCCUUGUAAAAGAAGGAGUACUCCAAGGGGAUACGUUGAUCACAGGGGGCCACCUGGAGUGUGAAGAAUUAAAGCCUGGCCCACAGGGAUGCUCCACACCAGGGGGUGCACAAAAGUGCACACCAGGGCCAUCUGACAUGCAUGCCCCUCGAACUAUGCAAGAACAGCUCCGCCCCAGUGGCCACACGAGGAAUCCAUUCAUAAAUGGAGCAGGGGGCAACGGGAGCAGCCUGAAGUCAGAGGGGAGAGGAACCCCCACCUUCUGCACAUCCAGUGUGUACAGAGAACAUAGAGGGGAACCAAGGAGCGAUAUUAGUAAGGAGUAUUUCACAAGUGGCCGCCGACAAGAAGAAAAUUUAAUGUCUUUCAGCGAACCGGAAGAACAGGAAGGAGAGGAUAUGGAACCACAAGAGGAGACAGAGGAGGACGUUCCCCUCACGGCUGCAGGUGUAUGGGAGGCAGAAAGCCAACUGAAACUCAUGGAAGAAGUCGCAGAAGAAUCGGGUGAAAUAAUCCUGAUACAAGGAGUUUUUAAGGGAAAAUCAACCCCCGUUGAAACGGCAGUAAGACGGUCGAGGCGCAUCAUAGCCAGACAAAGGAGAGGAGGAGAAGAAGAAGCCCAAAGACAACAUGGGCCGUAUCAAAUGCCACUCAGGAUGGACGAAACAACCCACCGAGAGGAAUACGUUGCCUGGAAGAUGCACGAUUUAACGGCCCUGAUGGAACAGCUCCCGAGCUUACAUGGGGGUGCCUCAGCCUGGCUGCUUCAGCUUCAGUCCCUAACUUCCGGGGUCCGGCUUGCCUUGGGGGACAUGAAGGCCUUAUUGGCUAGGUCAACUGACUACACGACCAUGAAUGCCCUAAUAAACACAGCAGGACUGGGAAAAUUGGGGUCAGCAACAGAACCUGAGAAAUACAGAGUAUCACUGUGGAAUGAGCUCAGAAGGGCAUAUCCCACCGAAAAAAUUAUGCAACCCUUACCUCUUUUGCCAUGA